GAAAAAUAUUCUGAGACUCCUCGUCAUGGGCCUCUCACGUAAUGUCUAAUGUGCUUUUGAGUGUUAAUAUGUGAGUGAGCAAAGGUUUUGGUUAAGAGACAGUAAAUCUAAAGACAGGAAACAGGAAACGACAACCUUCUCUAAUAUGCAGAUGUGUCCACUUGUGCUUUCGAGAUGUUUUGGACAUCAAUAUCCAUGAGCCCUACCCAGUGCUACCAAAGGUCAAGAAAUCUGGAAGAUGCAGCAAAAACCUUCUGGAGGACACCAGCUUGGGGAGCUCUAUUUUAAAGGUUCCUCCUUCUACAAAAAUUCCAUUUUCUGCUGUCAGAUGUUCCACACUCCACCCACAGUCCUAGGAUGCAGAGUCAAUGAGUAACGUUUGUACCAAGUACCAGUUUCUACCAUCAGUUAACAAGUGAUACAAGUAGGGCAUGAACACUUUUGGCUCAAUAUUGGUUCUUUUCCACUGCUGACAAGAAGACCAUCCAGCAACAAUAUUCUAGGAUUCCAUAUCUUUUUUUGUUAGUAGCACAGCUUCAGAAAGUACUGAAAGAUGGCUGAUAUGUAAUGAAAAGCUAUUGGAUGAAUUAUUUAAAAUAGGAGCACUGAGUCAAACUCAGUUGCAAUUCAUGACACAUGGAAGGUCUCAACAAAUUCAAAAAACAUAUUUGUGUUAAAGAAUAUCCACCAACAUGAGUAAAGUGGCUUAAAGAUAGGACUAUAUAAGUUAGGUUGAGAACAGCUGACGUGGCAUGGCUGGAAGACUACAAUUUGCACUUAUUUCUGACUACAGCUGUAGCAAGAUGUGACAGACGGCUUUGCCAUGAUUUUAUGGCAUUUAUCUUAAUUCCAUCCCUCUUUUGAUAUACAGUUCACCAUAAAAUAUAACAGGAGAAAAUAAAAUAUAUAAUAGAGUCA
Molecule: long non-coding RNA, 918 nt
Filed under: Pogona vitticeps (central bearded dragon)
Lineage: Eukaryota; Metazoa; Chordata; Lepidosauria; Squamata; Agamidae
Description: lncRNA (ENSPVIG00000013562.1)
Source: RNAcentral